This 1362-nucleotide long non-coding RNA is filed under the name Numida meleagris (helmeted guineafowl). Its description in RNAcentral is "lncRNA (ENSNMEG00000008423.1)". The record is from RNAcentral. Lineage: Eukaryota; Metazoa; Chordata; Aves; Galliformes; Numididae.
GUAAGGAAAGAGUCACCCAUUUAAAGAGCAUCAUUUCCAGGCUGAAGAACAUCCCACAAGAAAAACAGACAGUAAUCAGUAACAGAGGCAAAGAAUGAUGGAGAGACUGCAUCCCAUGACAGCGUCUGAACCACAGGAGUCAUCAUCCUUUCACAGCUACCCCAUGUAUAACGUAUCAGCUGAUUGCUAUAUCUGGUCUUAGAAAAAGAGAUGCUUCAUUGGAAAUGCCCAACCAACAAACAGACAAGGAUGUGUUCAUGUGUUACACAAAGACUACUUCUCUGUUUACCUAUUGCUGACUCCCUGGAGAAGACUGUGGCAAAGUCUCCUGUGCACCAAGACUUAUUUCCAUGCUGAAUGCAACUAUGCGACCUGGUGAAGAUAAGAUAUAAUUCAGACUGGCCAAAAGUAAAUGACUGCUUCACAAGCUGUUCUGGGAACUGAUCAAUGUGCAAAUGUCAUAUCUUGCAGAGCUGAUUGAUCAAGUGACAAAGAGAAGAACAAGGGAGGCUUUCAUCCCUCUGCUUUCACAGGUCACUAUUUCAGCCUGUAUCCCCAGCUCUUCCUGUUUACACCUGCAGAUAACUCCUGGCUGACAAGAGAGGGGCAAAAGGCUUUUCCUGAGGAAAAGUGACUCCACAUGUUUGACUGUAGCACACUGAGAAGGAAAAAUAUGUUAUUCACUCACUUUCCCUUGAGAUCCAGAAUGCAGAAAUGGGUGGUUCGUAUCGUUCUCUCUGACUACUGAGUAGUAUCUCCAUCAGAAUGUAGUCCACAGGGUAAAUGUUAUUUUUCACAAUGUAUUUUGGAAAGCUGUUUGUAAACACUACAGUGAGUUCAAUAACACUCACAUUGAGGACAGUGAGAACUGGAAGAAAGAGACCUACAACUUGCAAAAGCCUAGAGGAAAAGGUAAGAGUUGUGUAAAAGAAAAAAGCAAGAAUGAGUAAGGAUCUCUAUUUGCCCUUCAGCUAUCCUCUCUCUUUUUUUUUUCUAUUAAAGCUUUGAGAAAAAGAAUGACAACAGUUCAUCUAUUUUAUUAACAUUUUUUCUUCCCUGGAGAAUUAGAUGGGUGCAGACAGCAAGGAAGGAGAGAAUUAUUUUAGGCUAAUAUCUUGGGUAUUAAUUAUAUACCUAGGGUAUAAUUAGGGUAUAGCUAAGAAUCCUGGGAUAAUUAUAGGAAAUAGAAAACUGAGGCUGAAUAUUUGAAAAAAAAAAAAUUUCUGUCUGUACUGAGCUGUAGAAUAGUUGCCCAAGAGAAACGUUCAUUGUUUUGCAUAUGUAAAAAGUGAUGGGCUACAAAUUGGGAAAUAUAUCUUAUAAAUGACCUUGUUUUCAAGACAUGCUUCUCGUGUUAAGUUC